AUACGUAGGUGACAAGCGUUAUCCGGAUUUACUGGGCGUAAAGGGCGUGUAGGCGGUCUUGCAAGUCAGAAGUGAAAUUCCUGAGCUCAACUCGGGCGCUGCUUCUGAAACUGCAGGACUUGAGUGCUGGAGGGGAUAGCGGAAUUCCUAGUGGAGCGGUAAAAUGCGCAGAUAUUAGGAAGAACACCGGUGGCGAAGGCGGCUAUCUGGACAGUAACUGACGCUGAGGCGCGAAAGCGGGGGGAGCAAACAGGAUUAGAUACCCUGGUGGUCCACGCCGUAAACGAUGAAUACUAGGUGUAGGGGGUAUCGACUCCCUCUGUGCCGCAGUUAACACAAUAAGUAUUCCGCCUGGGGAGUACGGCCGCAAGGUUGAAACUCAAAUGAAUUGACGGGG
RNAcentral lists this ribosomal RNA (397 nucleotides) under uncultured bacterium. RNAcentral describes it as "partial 16S ribosomal RNA". It matches the Rfam family "Bacterial small subunit ribosomal RNA", at positions 523 to 918 of the family's 1533-position model. The record is from RNAcentral.